This 346-nucleotide long non-coding RNA is filed under the name Lathyrus oleraceus (garden pea). Its description in RNAcentral is "Pisum sativum (pea) long non-coding RNA (PSAT_LNC017363)". Lineage: Eukaryota; Viridiplantae; Streptophyta; Magnoliopsida; Fabales; Fabaceae. The record is from RNAcentral.
GCAACAUUAUUCGGCAACGGUUAUACCGAAGAUCGCAACAAUUCAGAGACUGAAUGACUUCCGUGGAUGUGGUCACCAUUCAAAGCAUCGCGAUAUGUGGUUUUACCGAUAUUUGCUACUUCAUGAAUUCCAAAUACAUUAUUGAUCCUACUCUAGCUUCUUCCAUGCAAUUUUCCAUCAAUGUGAUUCCUGUGGCCGUGAAAAUCAUCUAGACCAUCUUUCACAACAGUGCUCUCCUGCCUUAACAGCUUGAACCGACAAGGAGAAAGAGAAAUGGAAGGAAUGCUUUUUUUUCAAAAUAACAUCACAUGCCUUCAAAUAAACCCAUGAAUGCAGGCUAGCUCUC